CCAUCCUUGAAUCCACUCACUUGCCCAGCCCCUGAACCAACUGAUGAAUGUGGUGAAGUCUUCCCUUCGUCACCCCAGGUGCAGCCACAGCCUCUGCAGCCACCCUGGGGGAGAGACAGCUCCAGGAGGACCUGCUAAGGUGAGGUGUUCUGGAAGGGUCUCUGCUCCUCUCUGAGAAGUAAAAUGUGUUUCUUUGGUGGAUGUGAAACCAACAAACCACUGUGGUGCCUCUCUACAUCUGAAGGAUGAGCCAGCCAAGCCAGGGGAACUGACGACCCCACACACGUCUGCACUGCUGUGGCCGUGUUGAACACGGACUCCUUCUUCAGGGCAGCCUUGGGCCAUCGGAGGGCUGCUGUAUGCAGUGACGGCCACCAAGUGUCCUUGGCCAGGGGAGUGAUUUACAGGGACUGAGAUCCUGACUUGUGACCCAGACACGAAUGCAUCCUUGUUCCAUUUUGUUAUUGCUCAACCGUCAUCUGGCCAUCCCCAAAGCCCACCUCUGUGAGAAAGGCCAGUGCUUGUCCUCGUGACACCCCUGAGACCUCGAUGGAGCAAGUCCCAGGGCCCAUCAUACAUUUUUAAAGAAAAUCUUCUUUUGGUGAGAAGAUCAAAGGGCCAGGCAGAAAUGGAAAAGCACUUUCUGGCAUCAGACUUCCUCUGACUUCUCCGGUUGCCACACCACUGAAAGACUGCCCCACAGUGCGAGGGACGUCCACAUCUGCCUGGCUCUCCG
RNAcentral lists this long non-coding RNA (736 nucleotides) under Homo sapiens (human). Its description in RNAcentral is "HSALNT0049222". The record is from RNAcentral. Lineage: Eukaryota; Metazoa; Chordata; Mammalia; Primates; Hominidae.